Molecule: transfer RNA, 73 nt
Filed under: Merluccius polli (Benguela hake)
Lineage: Eukaryota; Metazoa; Chordata; Actinopteri; Gadiformes; Merlucciidae
Description: tRNA-Tyr
Rfam family: tRNA
About the family: Transfer RNA (tRNA) molecules are approximately 80 nucleotides in length.
Source: RNAcentral
CCUUCGAUAGCUCAGUUGGUAGAGUGGAGGACUGUAGAUCCUUAGGUCGCUGGUUCAACUCCGGCUCGAAGGA